GGCGCUAUGGCCGAGUGGUUAAGGCGAUGACCUGAUAAAUCAUUGUGCGCAGCACGCGUGGGUUCGAAUCCCGCUGGCGCCG
RNAcentral lists this transfer RNA (82 nucleotides) under Giardia duodenalis. Its description in RNAcentral is "Giardia intestinalis tRNA-Ile". It matches the Rfam family "tRNA". Rfam says of the family: Transfer RNA (tRNA) molecules are approximately 80 nucleotides in length. Their secondary structure includes four short double-helical elements and three loops (D, anti-codon, and T loops). The record is from RNAcentral. Lineage: Eukaryota; Fornicata; Diplomonadida; Hexamitidae. RNAcentral also lists the same sequence under 1 other name.